Centruroides sculpturatus (bark scorpion) is the source of this 518-nucleotide long non-coding RNA. RefSeq lists it as uncharacterized. The transcript has 3 exons. Lineage: Eukaryota; Metazoa; Arthropoda; Arachnida; Scorpiones; Buthidae. The record is from RefSeq and is a predicted model, not a curated record.
AUCUGCUGAUUCUAACUUGCAAUCAUAAAUUCAUCAAACAAUUUUUUCAGUUUAAAUUUACCAAGAGUAUCUUUAGAAAAUGUUAAAAAAUCCUUUGUAUGCUAAACACAUAUUUAGCCACUGGUGUGAUUUUUUGAAAAUCACUAAAGGAACACACACACGUGCCUCCUUAUUCUACUUGGAAUUUUUUCUUAAAAGCUGAUAAGUUUUCAGUAAUUUCCCCCUCUCCAUAUAAUGCCUCUUAAAUAAUUAUUUAGAAACUGAUUGUUGAUUUUAUUAUUUGUUAGUUCGAAACAAAUAAGACAUGUCAAUUGAUUCUUGAAUGCAUAUCUUUGCUUAUUAUAAUAUCUUCUAAACUGCAUACUGCUGCAUAUGUUCACCAGCCACUUCAGAGAUAUUCAGUAAUAUGUGGUGCAGUCAAUUUUGUUGCUCCAAAAGGAUCAGAAACAUGUGGUGGUCUUACAGCAUGUUGUAGUUCUUCUAUCCAUACUUCUCUAGUUUUACUAUCACUUGCAGAC